RNAcentral lists this long non-coding RNA (201 nucleotides) under Elaeis guineensis (African oil palm). RNAcentral's name for it is "long non-coding RNA (EGUI_LNC047643)". The record is from RNAcentral. Lineage: Eukaryota; Viridiplantae; Streptophyta; Magnoliopsida; Arecales; Arecaceae.
GGUGCCAAUUCAAUCAACAAGACCUAAGCCGAUUCAGUGACUUGAUGAAGUCAGUGGGAGGAUUGUGGUCUACUGAUUGAUCUUUUUCUCUCUCUUCUUUUCUAAAUCGAUUAAACUCUCUAAAUUAUUAGGUCCCUAAAAUGAGCUAGUUAUGGUGAUAACUAGAUCAUAGCCUCUCAUUAAGGUGAAUGAUAAUGGUCC